Molecule: ribosomal RNA, 865 nt
Filed under: Escherichia coli
Lineage: Bacteria; Pseudomonadati; Pseudomonadota; Gammaproteobacteria; Enterobacterales; Enterobacteriaceae
Description: partial 23S ribosomal RNA
Rfam family: Bacterial large subunit ribosomal RNA
Source: RNAcentral
CUCGAUGAGUAGGGCGGGACACGUGGUAUCCUGUCUGAAUAUGGGGGGACCAUCCUCCAAGGCUAAAUACUCCUGACUGACCGAUAGUGAACCAGUACCGUGAGGGAAAGGCGAAAAGAACCCCGGCGAGGGGAGUGAAAAAGAACCUGAAACCGUGUACGUACAAGCAGUGGGAGCACGCUUAGGCGUGUGACUGCGUACCUUUUGUAUAAUGGGUCAGCGACUUAUAUUCUGUAGCAAGGUUAACCGAAUAGGGGAGCCGAAGGGAAACCGAGUCUUAACUGGGCGUUAAGUUGCAGGGUAUAGACCCGAAACCCGGUGAUCUAGCCAUGGGCAGGUUGAAGGUUGGGUAACACUAACUGGAGGACCGAACCGACUAAUGUUGAAAAAUUAGCGGAUGACUUGUGGCUGGGGGUGAAAGGCCAAUCAAACCGGGAGAUAGCUGGUUCUCCCCGAAAGCUAUUUAGGUAGCGCCUCGUGAAUUCAUCUCCGGGGGUAGAGCACUGUUUCGGCAAGGGGGUCAUCCCGACUUACCAACCCGAUGCAAACUGCGAAUACCGGAGAAUGUUAUCACGGGAGACACACGGCGGGUGCUAACGUCCGUCGUGAAGAGGGAAACAACCCAGACCGCCAGCUAAGGUCCCAAAGUCAUGGUUAAGUGGGAAACGAUGUGGGAAGGCCCAGACAGCCAGGAUGUUGGCUUAGAAGCAGCCAUCAUUUAAAGAAAGCGUAAUAGCUCACUGGUCGAGUCGGCCUGCGCGGAAGAUGUAACGGGGCUAAACCAUGCACCGAAGCUGCGGCAGCGACGCUGAUGCGUUGUUGGGUAGGGGAGCGUUCUGUAAGCCUGCGAAGGUGUGCUGUGAGG